Callithrix jacchus (white-tufted-ear marmoset) is the source of this 540-nucleotide long non-coding RNA. RefSeq lists it as uncharacterized. Lineage: Eukaryota; Metazoa; Chordata; Mammalia; Primates; Cebidae. The record is from RefSeq and is a predicted model, not a curated record.
CGGGGCCUCCGAUGGGGCCGUAGAGUUCCAUUGCUGGGGCAGUGCCCCCUCCCCUUCUUCGGGGGUGUGUGGGAGGUGCUGGCAUCACUUAAUGAGGCCUCCGCGGCUGCCAAGGAGAGCUGGAGGAGUUGAAACAGGUUCUGGGUGAGAUGGAGUUUCGUUCUUGUUGCCCAGGCUGGAGUACAGUGGCACGAUCUCAGCUCACCACAACCUCCAUCUCUCAGAUAGUACCAUGUGGUGCCAUAUAACAAAGGUACAAGCGUGUAGUGAAAAGCCAGCCUCCCUCCUGUGCUUCCUCACUCUCUCAGCUCUGCACCAUGAUGGUCUUUUGUGUUGCCUUUCAGAAGGGCUCUGUGAACGUGCAGGUUCAAGCGAUUCUCCCGACUCGGCCUCUGGAGUAGCUGGGAUUAUAGGCAAGUGCCAGUACACCCGGCUAAUUUCUGUAUUUUUAGUAGAUACGGGGUUUCACUACAUUGGCCAGGCUGGUCUCAAACUCCUGACUUCAUGAUCUGCUCGCCUUGACCUCCCAAGAUGCUGGGA